AAUCAACUUCCUGGAGUCUGGACAGAAGUACGGUCUACUGAUCCAUCGACUAAUUAAGCUGUCCUUAACAUAGCUAGCUGCUAGUGAGAAUCAAUGGCAUCCGAGCUGGUGCUACUCAACCCAGCAACUGUGGAUGAUGCUCUGGCAUCUCCAGCUGGUGCUCAAGCCCGGGACACUCCGGCCGCUCAGCAGCCUCCACCCGCUCCUGCAGAUCCUUUGCGAGAGAGUCAUUCUCCCAAUGGCGAGGUUCACGGAAACCAGAUGCUUACCAGCUCCAAGAGCUACCCUCCGCACAAGAUUCAUGAUGCUCCCCGUAAAUUAAUGGCGUCUGUGGAGCUGUCUUAGCUUCCUUAGCUACAGGAGCAACCCUAGAGCACCAGAUUCAUGAACCCAGGCAUCCUUCGCAAAAGGGAAAGUCUUUGCAAAAACCACACAGCCUGUAAGAUCCUGAUAUGAUGGGCUAGAAUAAAGAUAUCGGCAGUUAUGUACUAUUGUUGUCAUAUUGAUUUUCCUAUCGACGCAACAUGUCAUGUAUAGUAUUGAUUUCGUAUACUUCUCCAA
Triticum aestivum (bread wheat) is the source of this 561-nucleotide long non-coding RNA. RefSeq lists it as uncharacterized. The transcript has 2 exons. The record is from RefSeq and is a predicted model, not a curated record. Lineage: Eukaryota; Viridiplantae; Streptophyta; Magnoliopsida; Poales; Poaceae.